UACGGAGGGUGCAAGCGUUAAUCGGAUUUAUUGGGCGUAAAGAGCAUGUAGGCGGAGUGGAAAGUUAGAUGUGAAAUCCCGGGGCUCAACUCCGGAUCCGCAUCUAAAACUCCCAUUCUAGAGGAUGGACGGAGAAAAGGGAAUUCCACGUGUAGCGGUGAAAUGCGUAGAUAUGUGGAAGAACACCGGUGGCGAAGGCGCUUUUCUAGUUUAGACCUGACGCUGAGAUGCGAAAGCGAGGGGAGCAAACAGG
RNAcentral lists this ribosomal RNA (253 nucleotides) under uncultured bacterium. RNAcentral's name for it is "partial 16S ribosomal RNA". It matches the Rfam family "Bacterial small subunit ribosomal RNA", at positions 524 to 776 of the family's 1533-position model. The record is from RNAcentral.